CUUUACUCACAACAUAACACUUUAUUCUCCUCUGUUCCAGCGCCCUCUAACGACAGACACUUGUAACAACAAUAUUUUAUAUUACACAUUGGACUCGGCGGCUUCCGUAUGUUUCACGCCAGCUUCAUCUCAGUCACUAUAUAAUCAGACCGCUGGGGGGCGCUCAGGUUCAGAUUUGAGGAAGAGCAACGGCGGCAAGCACCUGAACACAGUGUGAAUCACCGUCAGGAGAUUAAAAUGAGUGGAAAUGUUUCCGUGUGUGAGAAACCGCUAUGCUAAUGGCGCGCACACAAAUCACCUCAGAACAGAGUAACAGAGGACUGAGGUUUCUGUGGGAAAAAACGUGUAAUUUAACACGUGAUUUUGUAUCCUGGACUCGUUCAUGUCUCUACAGAGUAUUUUAUAUUAUUAAUGUGUUUACUGGGUUUGUAUUAAUAAAAACAUCACAUUAAACCAUGUUCAACUUUU
This is a long non-coding RNA of Silurus meridionalis, 468 nucleotides long. RefSeq lists it as uncharacterized. The record is from RefSeq and is a predicted model, not a curated record. NCBI's taxonomy places the organism in Eukaryota, Metazoa, Chordata, Actinopteri, Siluriformes, Siluridae. The transcript has 3 exons.